CCUACGGGAGGCAGCAGUGAGGAAUAUUGGUCAAUGGACGAGAGUCUGAACCAGCCAAGUAGCGUGAAGGAUGACUGCCCUAUGGGUUGUAAACUUCUUUUAUAUGGGAAUAAAACAGGGUAUGCAUACCCUCUUGUAUGUACCAUAUGAAUAAGGAUCGGCUAACUCCGUGCCAGCAGCCGCGGUAAUACGGAGGAUCCGAGCGUUAUCCGGAUUUAUUGGGUUUAAAGGGAGCGUAGGUGGAUUGUUAAGUCAGAUGUGAAAGUUUGCGGCUCAACCGUAAAAUUGCAGUUGAAACUGGCAGUCGUGAGUACAGUAGAGGUGGGCGGAAUUCGUGGUGUAGCGGUGAAAUGCUUAGAUAUCACGAAGAACUCCGAUUGCGAAGGCAGCUCACUGGACUGCAACUGACACUGAUGCUCGAAAGUGUGGGUAUCAAACAGGAUUAGAUACCCCGGUAGUC
RNAcentral lists this ribosomal RNA (460 nucleotides) under uncultured bacterium. RNAcentral describes it as "partial 16S ribosomal RNA". It matches the Rfam family "Bacterial small subunit ribosomal RNA", at positions 338 to 795 of the family's 1533-position model. The record is from RNAcentral.